Molecule: ribosomal RNA, 375 nt
Filed under: uncultured bacterium
Lineage: Bacteria
Description: bacterial SSU rRNA
Rfam family: Bacterial small subunit ribosomal RNA
Source: RNAcentral
GUAGGGGGCGAGCGUUGUCCGGAAUCAUUGGGCGUAAAGAGCUCGUAGGCGGCUCGGUAAGUCGGGUGUGAAACCCCCAGGCUCAACCUGGGGACGCCACCCGAUACUGCCGUGGCUAGAGUCCAGUAGGGGAGUGUGGAAUUCCCGGUGUAGCGGUGAAAUGCGCAGAUAUCGGGAGGAACACCAGCGGCGAAGGCGGCACUCUGGGCUGGAACUGACGCUGAGGAGCGAAAGCGUGGGUAGCAAACAGGAUUAGAUACCCUGGUAGUCCACGCCGUAAACGUUGGGCACUAGGUGUGGGGACCCUCCAACGGUCUCCGUGCCGUAGCUAACGCAUUAAGUGCCCCGCCUGGGGAGUACGGCCGCAAGGCUAAA